CGUGCGCACGCGCCGAAUCCCGCAAGGGAACCGGGGAACCACCACUUGGGGUGAAUCGGGCGUAAUCCACCGGGCAAAUCCGGGCGGAUAUACGCGCGUAGGAGACCUUCCUGCUCCGAACCCGUCAGCUAACCCGGUAGGCGAGAAGGAAGGAAAGG
RNAcentral lists this small RNA (158 nucleotides) under Streptomyces sp. RNAcentral's name for it is "c-di-AMP sequence". It matches the Rfam family "c-di-AMP riboswitch aptamer (ydaO/yuaA leader)". From Rfam's summary of the family: This family represents a conserved RNA structure found upstream of the ydaO and yuaA genes in Bacillus subtilis and related genes in other bacteria. The ydaO/yuaA element is thought to act as a genetic "off" switch for the ydaO and yuaA genes in its native state. It is believed that the element may be triggered during osmotic shock leading to activation of ydaO, a predicted amino acid transporter gene, and members of the yuaA-yubG operon which code for KtrA and KtrB K+ transporters. Lineage: Bacteria; Bacillati; Actinomycetota; Actinomycetes; Kitasatosporales; Streptomycetaceae. The record is from RNAcentral. RNAcentral also lists the same sequence under 1 other name.